AAUAGAUACCCCGGUAGUCCACGCCGUAAACGAUGGAUACUAGCUGUCCGGCGCAAGCUGGGUGGCUAAGCGAAAGUGAUAAGUAUCCCACCUGGGGAGUACGUUCGCAAGAAUGAAACUCAAAGGAAUUGACGGGGGCCCGCACAAGCGGUGGAGCAUGUGGUUUAAUUCGAUGAUACGCGAGGAACCUUACCAGGGCUUAAAUGUAGUGGGACAGGUCCAGAGAUGGGCCCUUCUUCGGACUCAUUACAAGGUGCUGCAUGGUUGUCGUCAGCUCGUGCCGUGAGGUGUCAGGUUAAGUCCCAUAACGAGCGCAACCCCUGUCGUUAGUUGCCAGCGAGUGAAGUCGGGAACUCUAACGAGACUGCCGGUGCAAACCGUGAGGAAGGUGGGGAUGACGUCAAAUCAUCACGGCCCUUACGUCCUGGGCUACACACGUGCUACAAUGGCCGGUACAGAGAGCAGCCACGCCGCAAGGCGGAGCGAAUCUACAAAACCGGUCACAGUUCGGAUCGGGGUCUGCAACUCGA
RNAcentral lists this ribosomal RNA (530 nucleotides) under uncultured bacterium. RNAcentral describes it as "bacterial SSU rRNA". It matches the Rfam family "Bacterial small subunit ribosomal RNA", at positions 777 to 1315 of the family's 1533-position model. The record is from RNAcentral.